Molecule: microRNA precursor, 61 nt
Filed under: Callorhinchus milii (elephant shark)
Lineage: Eukaryota; Metazoa; Chordata; Chondrichthyes; Chimaeriformes; Callorhinchidae
Description: Cmi-Mir-456_pre stem-loop
Rfam family: mir-456 microRNA precursor family
Source: RNAcentral
GCAGGUAUCUUCCCAGCCUACACGUAGGUCCUGAAAUCUGCAGGCUGGUUUGAUGGUUGUC